Molecule: ribosomal RNA, 789 nt
Filed under: uncultured bacterium
Lineage: Bacteria
Description: bacterial LSU rRNA
Rfam family: Bacterial large subunit ribosomal RNA
Source: RNAcentral
UAGGUACACAAAAGCAAACCCGGAGAAUUGAAACAUCUAAGUACCCGGAGGAAAAGAAAUCAACCGAGAUUCCCCAAGUAGCGGCGAGCGAAAGGGGAGCAGCCGAGCAAACAAGUUAUAGAAGAACACUCUGGAAAGUGUGACCAUAGUGGGUGAUAGUCCCGUAUUUGAAAUGGCUUGUUUGACAUAUUAAGUAGGUCGGGGCACGAGAAACCUUGACUGAAGAUAGGGGGACCAUCCUCUAAGGCUAAAUACUCCUUACCGACCGAUAGUGAACCAGUACUGUGAAGGAAAGGCGAAAAGAACCCCGGAGGGGGGAGUGAAAUAGAACCUGAAACCGCAUACGUACAAGCAGUGGGAGCCUCCUUGAGGGGUGACUGCGUACCUUUUGUAUAAUGGGUCAGCGACUUAAUUUUAGUAGCAAGGUUAACCGUUAGGGGAGCCGUAGGGAAACCGAGUCUUAAUAGGGCGUUUAGUUGCUAGGAUUAGACCCGAAACCGAGCGAUCUAUCCAUGGCCAGGUUGAAGGUUGAGUAACAUCAACUGGAGGACCGAACCCACGUAUGUUGAAAAAUGCAGGGAUGAGCUGUGGAUCGGAGUGAAAGGCUAAUCAAGCUCGGAGAUAGCUGGUUCUCCUCGAAAUCUAUUUAGGUAGAGCCUCGUAUAUAACUCCUGGGGGUAGAGCACUGUUAUGGCUAGAGGGCCUUGAUCGGCUUAUCAACCCAUUGCAAACUCCGAAUACCAGGAAGUUCAGUACGGGAGACACACGGCGGGUGCUAACGUCCGUCGU